This 1338-nucleotide ribosomal RNA is filed under the name uncultured bacterium. Its description in RNAcentral is "bacterial SSU rRNA". It matches the Rfam family "Bacterial small subunit ribosomal RNA", at positions 28 to 1387 of the family's 1533-position model. The record is from RNAcentral.
AACGAACGCUGGCGGCGUGGAUAAGACAUGCAAGUCGAACGAGAGAAUUGCUAGCUUGCUAAUAAUUCUCUAGUGGCGCACGGGUGAGUAACACGUGAGUAACCUGCCCCCGAGAGCGGGAUAGCCCUGGGAAACUGGGGUUAAUACCGCAUAGUAUCGAAAGAUUAAAGCAGCAAUGCGCUUGGGGAUGGGCUCGCGGCCUAUUAGUUAGUUGGUGAGGUAACGGCUCACCAAGGCGAUGACGGGUAGCCGGUCUGAGAGGAUGUCCGGCCACACUGGAACUGAGACACGGUCCAGACACCUACGGGUGGCAGCAGUCGAGAAUCAUUCACAAUGGGGGAAACCCUGAUGGUGCGACGCCGCGUGGGGGAAUGAAGGUCUUCGGAUUGUAAACCCCUGUCAUGUGGGAGCAAAUUAAAAAGAUAGUACCACAAGAGGAAGAGACGGCUAACUUUGUGCCAGCAGCCGCGGUAAUACAGAGGUCUCAAGCGUUGUUCGGAAUCACUGGGCGUAAAGCGUGCGUAGGCUGUUUCGUAAGUCGUGUGUGAAAGGCGCGGGCUCAACCCGCGGACGGCACAUGAUACUGCGAGACUAGAGUAAUGGAGGGGGAACCGGAAUUCUCGGUGUAGCAGUGAAAUGCGUAGAUAUCGAGAGGAACACUCGUGGCGAAGGCGGGUUCCUGGACAUUAACUGACGCUGAGGCACGAAGGCCAGGGGAGCGAAAAAGAUUAGAUACCCCUGUAGUCCUGGCAGUAAACGGUGCACGCUUGGUGUGCGGGGAAUCGACCCCCUGCGUGCCGGAGCUAACGCGUUAAGCGUGCCGCCUGGGGAGUACGGUCGCAAGAUUAAAACUCAAAGAAAUUGACGGGGACCCGCACAAGCGGUGGAGUAUGUGGCUUAAUUCGAUGCAACGCGAAGAACCUUACCUGGGCUUGACAUGUAAUGAACAACAUGUAAAAGCAUGCGACUCUUCGGAGGCGUUACACAGGUGGUGCAUGGCCGUCGUCAGCUCGUGUCGUGAGAUGUUUGGUUAAGUCCAGCAACGAGCGCAACCCCUGUUGCCAGUUACCAGCACGUGAAGGUGGGGACUCUGGCGAGACUGCCCAGAUCAACUGGGAGGAAGGUGGGGAGGACGUCAGGUCAGUAUGGCCCUUAUGCCCAGGGCUGCACACGUACUACAAUGCCCAGUACAGAGGGGGCCGAAGCCGCGAGGCGGAGGAAAUCCUGAAAACUGGGCCCAGUUCGGACUGUAGGCUGCAACCCGCCUACACGAAGCCGGAAUCGCUAGUAAUGGCGCAUCAGCUACGGCGCCGUGAAUAAGAUCCCGGGUCUUGCACA